GUUAUAUUGGAUUAAAGUAUUAUUUAUGGAUAAUAUUGUUUUGAGAUGGUUUAUUUGCAUUUGUAUUCUCUGGCAUCAAAAAAUGAUGAUCAUACUUAUAAUUAGAUUCUAGUUGUUCAGAAUAUUCUUAAUGAUCUUGAUUUUAGUUUUUUAUGGAUAUUUGCAGGCCCCUAUAUUGACUAAAAGAUUUUUGUUAAGGAUGCUACAAAUGAAGCUGGAUCAAUAUAUCCGAAAGGAUUGUGUGGCUUUAAGGGCUAACCAUUAUUGUAGCUUAUACAGUAUGGUCAAAUUGGAUUUUUAUAUGGAACCUUAUGUUAAAUUUAAAUUUUUUUAUAAAGAAAAUGUUGUUUCAGUUAUGUUAUGGCCAAAAUUAUUUAUGUGUAUAUAGAUAUGAAUUUGUAAUUUAUCCAGAUAGUUUAUGUAUUUAUUGUAAUUUAAAUGUGAUGGAAUCCUGGGC
Molecule: long non-coding RNA, 457 nt
Filed under: Androctonus crassicauda
Lineage: Eukaryota; Metazoa; Arthropoda; Arachnida; Scorpiones; Buthidae
Source: RNAcentral